AGCCUUUGGAAAGGAUUAAAGGUUAUACCUGCCCAAUGUUAUAUUAAUGGCCGCGGUACUCUGACCGUGCUAAGGUAGCACAAUCAAUUGGCCCUUAAUUAGGGUCAGGUAUGAAUGGAGUUACGGGGCUUAGCUGUCUCUAGACUAUUUAAUUGAAGUUGCUAUAUAGGUGAAAAAGCCUGUAUUAAGAAAAAAGACGAGAAGACCCUUAGAGUUUUACUUAAAAAAGAGUUAUUUCUUCACUAGUUUUGUUGGGGCAACAUAGGAGAAGAACUAAACCUCCUAAAGGAUAUAAACCGAUGUUUUUAAAUGUGAAUAAACUACCUUAGGGAUAACAGCAUAAUUUUAAAAAUAAGUUUGUGACCUCGAUGUUGGACUAGGAAACUUAAGGGCUAGCCGCCUUUUGGUAAGGUUCUGUUCGAACUAUAAUUCCU
This 434-nucleotide ribosomal RNA is filed under the name Chromodoris magnifica. RNAcentral's name for it is "partial 16S ribosomal RNA". It matches the Rfam family "Bacterial large subunit ribosomal RNA", at positions 1817 to 2597 of the family's 2925-position model. Lineage: Eukaryota; Metazoa; Mollusca; Gastropoda; Nudibranchia; Chromodorididae. The record is from RNAcentral.